Non-coding RNA from Arachis ipaensis, 2120 nucleotides. The record is from RefSeq and is a predicted model, not a curated record. NCBI's taxonomy places the organism in Eukaryota, Viridiplantae, Streptophyta, Magnoliopsida, Fabales, Fabaceae.
UUUAAAUUUUAUUAAUUUGUCUAUAUAUGAUCUAUGAAAGAAUGCAGAGGCAUUAUUUAUCAUUUAAUUUAAAAUGUUCAAUUAAAAAUAACUUACCAAUUAGAAAAGAAUGAAGCCUUCAACCACAUUUCUUAGUAGUUCUUGGUGUGGAAGGAUCCAAGCGUGUGAAUGAAAGAGUGCAGAACUACAGGAUACACAGAAGGAUUGAAUAUGGAAAUUGAAUUCAAUUGAAGAGAUAUACAUAGCUAGGAUUGAAGGGAUAUACACCAAUGGUAACUAACUGAAAACAUCUGACGUCACCAAAGCUAAUUUAGUAAAAAUUAGCUAACUGGAAUGUUUUAGGUGCCUUUAUUUGUUAUCUUGCUGUUGAGGUAUAACUUUAUUAUAUCAAAAUUUUCUGCUGUUUUGUUCCUUAUAAAAUAUGAAUUAUGAUUCAAAAGUACAAGUUCUAGGUGGAAAUAUAGUCGUAAUAUAAAUGAGAUAGUAACCAUUUCUUGUUUUAUGUGAAUGUUGUAGUUUAAUUUACAUAGCUUCAAUUUCUAUACGCUAAUGAAAUUGCUUCUUGUUGUGUUCUGUACCCUACUUUACAAUAAUCAAGGAAUAGUUUUUUAUGGAAAAUCUAUUAGUUUCAAGAAAAAUCACUCCGAUCUACUUGAACUCGAAGAUCGUCUCAAGAGCAGCUCCAGAUUUUGAGGAUGAAGAGGAUGAGGAAGAAGAAAAAGAAGGGAAGAUUUUAGCUCCUGUGCCGGAUUCUAGCUUCAACGAAGAUAAUUUAUUUGAUGAAUCUAUGAGUUUGAAACAACUUGGAUUCUCAGAUGCUUGUCUGGCCACGUUAGCAUCUGGAGGUUAGUGAUACUGAUAUGCCACUUGCCUCCAUUGGCAUUCUUGUUGGUUGUGAGAAUUUCAUGCAUAUGUUUUGGUUCCAAUAUUCUUUAUUUUCUGGUUAAAAGGGAUGUCACUUGAUCUGGUCUUGUGGUCAUGUUGAUGUUGAUUUCAUGAAAACAAAACUUUUGUUUUGAUUAUUUGUUUGUUACUAACUCUAUUUGUACCACUAUCUUAUUUUCUUGCACCGCUACUGCUGAUUUAUUUCCACAAGAACCUGAGAUGUAAGUUAAAAGUUGUGAAUAUUAUUUCCACAUUUCUGUAGAUGAUUGCUGCAAGUUUCUCAUUUCCUGAGCAAUGGUUGAAUAGGCAACAAGAGUUUAAGCAGCAGGAGCAACUUGUGGUAGACAAAAUAGUGGCAUUUGAGGGGAGAAAUUUCUUAUCUGAUGAGACAAACAAGAAGAAUUAGAGUCACCUAAACCUUCCAUCUCUCUUAUAAAGAUAUCGGAAACAGAAUUUGAAUGUCUUCCUGGCUACAUGAAGGGUAUAGCGACAUGGGAGGAAGAGAUAAAAGAGAUGGAAAGAGAGCAAAUCCGAGAAGGAAUUGAUGAGUUUGGAAUAUUGUAUUCUGAAUUAAGUGAUUCCAACCGAUCUAAAGGCAGUAAUGGUUCUUUUGCAUUCCCUGUAAGAGACAGCCUUAGUUCUCCAAGCCUUAGGUUUUGAUAGAGACAUGCAGAUCUACAUUGCUGCUAGUGAGAUCUAUGGUGGCGAGCUUAGACUUGCACAACUAAGAGCUGCAUUUCCAAAAAUUGUGAGGUUCUGGGAUUGGCUCUUGCAUUCAUUCUUGGUGCAGGACUUCUUUUUGGAGCUAAACUAUUUACAAGAGAUGUUAAUCUCCUCCACCUCAUAAAAAAAUAGAAUACUUUUUGUUGCAGCCACCCAACCCAUCAAUACCUUGGCAUUUGUAUUUGAUAGUAUCAACUUUGGUGCAUCUGACUUUGCAUAUUCAGCAUUCUAUUUUGCAAUUUUCAAUGUGGAGCUUAAUGCUGCCAAUGCAACUUGGUUAUCCAUUAAUAUUUUAGAUUAUCCCAUCUUUAACUGUUAAGUGUAAUUUGUGACAUCAAUUAAUGAAGGAGAUCCAUGUAACAUUGGGAUGGUCAUCUUAUUUUUUAGGGGUAUCUUUUUAUUGAGACAGUGAGAUACUGGCUAAUGGUGUUGAAAAAUAACAUCCAAUUUUAUAGGUAUCAUGUAAUGAAUAUUAUGUUUAUCUAUGUGAUUUUUGGCUUUCUUUUUUUCAA